Molecule: ribosomal RNA, 490 nt
Filed under: uncultured bacterium
Lineage: Bacteria
Description: partial 16S ribosomal RNA
Rfam family: Bacterial small subunit ribosomal RNA
Source: RNAcentral
AUUGAACGCUGGCGGCAGGCCUAACACAUGCAAGUCGAACGGUAACAGGAAGCAGCUUGCUGCUUUGCUGACGAGUGGCGGACGGGUGAGUAAUGUCUGGGAAACUGCCCGAUGGAGGGGGAUAACUACUGGAAACGGUAGCUAAUACCGCAUAACGUCGCAAGACCAAAGAGGGGGACCUUAGGGCCUCUUGCCAUCGGAUGUGCCCAGAUGGGAUUAGCUAGUAGGUGGGGUAACGGCUCACCUAGGCGACGAUCCCUAGCUGGUCUGAGAGGAUGACCAGCCACACUGGAACUGAGACACGGUCCGGACUCCUACGGGAGGCAGCAGUGGGGAAUAUUGCACAAUGGGCGCAAGCCUGAUGCAGCCAUGCCGCGUGUAUGAAGAAGGCCUUCGGGUUGUAAAGUACUUUCAGCGGGGAGGAAGGGAGUAAAGUUAAUACCUUUGCUCAUUGACGUUACCCGCAGAAGAAGCACCGGCUAACUCCGUG